UUUUAUUUGAGAGUUUGAUCCUGGCUCAGGAUGAACGCUGGCGGCGUGCCUAACACAUGCAAGUUGAGCGAUUUACUUCGGUAAAGAGCGGCGGACGGGUGAGUAACGCGUGGGUAACCUACCCUGUACACACGGAUAACAUACCGAAAGGUAUGCUAAUACGGGAUAAUAUAUUUGAGAGGCAUCUCUUGAAUAUCAAAGGUGAGCCAGUACAGGAUGGACCCGCGUCUGAUUAGCUAGUUGGUAAGGUAACGGCUUACCAAGGCGACGAUCAGUAGCCGACCUGAGAGGGUGAUCGGCCACAUUGGAACUGAGACACG
RNAcentral lists this ribosomal RNA (320 nucleotides) under Clostridioides difficile. RNAcentral's name for it is "bacterial SSU rRNA". It matches the Rfam family "Bacterial small subunit ribosomal RNA", at positions 1 to 328 of the family's 1533-position model. The record is from RNAcentral. Lineage: Bacteria; Bacillati; Bacillota; Clostridia; Peptostreptococcales; Peptostreptococcaceae.